RNAcentral lists this ribosomal RNA (369 nucleotides) under uncultured bacterium. RNAcentral's name for it is "bacterial SSU rRNA". It matches the Rfam family "Bacterial small subunit ribosomal RNA", at positions 527 to 896 of the family's 1533-position model. The record is from RNAcentral.
GAAGGGGGCUAGCGUUGCUCGGAAUCACUGGGCGUAAAGCGCACGUAGGCGGCUUUUUAAGUCAGGGGUGAAAUCCUGGAGCUCAACUCCAGAACUGCCCUUGAUACUGAGAAGCUUGAGUCCGGGAGAGGUGAGUGGAACUGCGAGUGUAGAGGUGAAAUUUGUAGAUAUUCGCAAGAACACCAGUGGCGAAGGCGGCUCACUGGCCCGGUACUGACGCUGAGGUGUGAAAGCGUGGGGAGCAAACAGGAUUAGAUACCCUGGUAGUCCACGCCGUAAACGAUGGAUGCUAGCCGUUGGCAGGCUUGCCUGUCAGUGGCGCAGCUAACGCAUUAAGCAUCCCGCCUGGGGAGUACGGUCGCAAGAUUA